AGUGAACGCUGGCGGUAGGCCUAACAUAUGCAAGUCGAACGGCAGCACAGUAAGAGCUUGCUCUUACGGGUGGCGAGUGGCGGACGGGUGAGGAAUACAUCGGAAUCUACUUUUUCGUGGGGGAUAACGUAGGGAAACUUACGCUAAUACCGCAUACGACCUACGGGUGAAAGCAGGGGAUCUUCGGACCUUGCGCGAUUGAAUGAGCCGAUGUCGGAUUAGCUAGUUGGCGGGGUAAAGGCCCACCAAGGCGACGAUCCGUAGCUGGUCUGAGAGGAUGAUCAGCCAAACUGGAACUGAGACACGGUCCAGACUCCUACGGGAGGCAGCAGUGGGGAAUAUUGGACAAUGGGCGCAAGCCUGAUCCAGCCAUACCGCGUGGGUGAAGAAGGCCUUCGGGUUGUAAAGCCCUUUUGUUGGGAAAGAAAAGCAGCAGGUUAAUACCCCGCUGUUCUGACGGUACCCAAAGAAUAAGCACCGGCUAACUUCGUG
RNAcentral lists this ribosomal RNA (492 nucleotides) under uncultured bacterium. RNAcentral's name for it is "partial 16S ribosomal RNA". It matches the Rfam family "Bacterial small subunit ribosomal RNA", at positions 29 to 507 of the family's 1533-position model. The record is from RNAcentral.